CUUUAACAAUCUGGAACAAGCUGAAAAUUGAAACAUGACGGCUGAAACUUGUCCCCCGUAGCAGUUUGGGAUGAGGAGUAACCUGUCAUAGAGUCUCUCAAAUGUAGCAAUACGAUGAUGUCGAAAGACACCUUCGG
Serratia odorifera DSM 4582 is the source of this 137-nucleotide non-coding RNA. It matches the Rfam family "Salmonella enterica Typhi npcRNA 44". The record is from Rfam. Lineage: Bacteria; Pseudomonadati; Pseudomonadota; Gammaproteobacteria; Enterobacterales; Yersiniaceae.